CAAAAUUUGAGAGAAAUAAACUUUUUGUGAAUAUGGAACAUUUCUGUUUUAUUUCAGCUCAUGAAACAUGGGACCAACACUUUACAUGGUGUAUUUAUAUUUUUGUUCAAUAUCAAACAAACAUGCCUCUCUGACAUGUAAAAUACUGAAAUCACAGCAGCUCUAUUCAUAGAAUUUUUAUCUAGAAUGUUCCAAAACCUUUUCCUACUGAACAUGGCCCUGGUUUUAAAAAUGGCAGUUAUUGGCAACACCAUGGCAACAACACAACCACAACCAACUCUGAUUGGCCAGUCAAAAGACACAACCAACUCUGAUUGGCCAGUCAAAAGACACAACCAACUCUGAUUGGCCAGUCAAAAGACACAACAAACUCUGAUUGGCCAGUCAAAAGACACAACAAACUCUGAUUGGCCAGUUAAGCCAGACAGAGGUACUGUAUGUAGUAAAAAAACAACUUUAAAAAGCAGGAAUAAUAAACAAUAAUAAAACAAUGCAAUACUGUGAGAUCAUGGCACAGAUAUAGACAGACUGACCGGCAGAUAUAUGACCAUAGAAAUAGACACAGGCAGGGUAUAGAUAAUACUGGUGUGGUACUUUAAAAAUACCGCAGCGUUGUUGGAGCAACACUACGUAGUUGUGUGUUCGUAUCCAUGGUUACCAUAGGUAGAGCCCAGCCUCGUUCCAGACACAGCGGAGAUAACGUCAGAGCAGGUCCACUGACUACAUCUCCCAGAGGGCUUUUUCCAAAAUAAAAGUCCCCGUGAUAUCUGCACCGGUUGUUCACGAGUAUUGAGUGAACCUCGUGUCAUGUAAGCUACAACAGUACUGUGUGUCUCUGCGUGAUGGUGGACAAGGUUCAGUUUCAAACUGUCACUUCUAGAGAUAUGGGUUUAACAGAUCCCAAGGUCCUGUUUCAAACUGUCACUUCUAGAGAUAUGGGUUUAACAGAUCCCAAGGUCCUGUUUCAAACUGUCACUUCUAGAGAUAUGGGUUUAACAGAUCCCAAGGUCCUGUUUCAAACUGUCACUUCUAGAGAUAUGGGUUUAACAGAUCCCAAGGUUCCGUUGUUUCCAUAUUGGUCAGUGCGUGACCUGAACUCUUAUUGUGAAACACUUUGUUCCAGAUGCAUUUCCUGGGCUCCAUGUAACAGUUCCAUGACACAGAAUAGCCCACCAGGUAACCAACCAGCCAAGUCCAUAUCUCAGAAAGGUAUAGCCACACCUUUUACUCCAUACUGUAGUUACAGCUCCAUAAUCCAUACAGGGCAGAGGACCAUAAACCAUAGCCAGUCUAUUCCCCAUGUAGGUACGAGGUGAGCCAUGUAAUCCCAUCCCAGGUAGGUCCAUCCCAGAUCAGUUUAUCCAGGUAGGUCCAUCCCAGGUAGCCAUAGACAGGUAGGUCCAUCUCGGGUAGCCAUAGACAGGUAUGUCCAUCCCAGGUAGCCAUAGACAGGUAUGUCCAUCUCGGGUAGGUCCAUCCCAGGUAGGUCCAUCCCAGGUAGCCAUAGACAGGUAUGUCCAUCCCAGGUAGCCAUAGACAGGUAUGUCCAUCUCGGGUAGCCACAGACAGGUAGGUCCAUCCCAGGUAGCCAUAGACAGGUAUGUCCAUCUCGGGUAGCCAUAGACAGGUAUGUCCAUCUCGGGUAGGUCCAUCCCAGGUAUGUCCAUCCCAGGUAGCCAUAGACAGGUAUGUCCAUCCCAGGUAGCCAUAGAUAGGUAGGUCCAUCCCAGGUAGCCACAGACAGGUAGGUCCAUCCCAGGUAGCCAUAGACAGGUAUGUCCAUCUCGGGUAGGUCCAUCCCAGGUAGGUCCAUCCCAGGUAGCCACAGACAGGUAGGUCCAUCCCAGGUAGCCAUAGACAGGUAUGUCCAUCCCAGGUAGCCAUAGACAGGUAUGUCCAUACAUGCAGCCAUAGACAGGUAGGUCCAUCCCAGGUAGCCAUAGACAGGUAUGUCCAUACAUGCAGCCAUAGUCCAAGUAAAUCUUAGCCUGCAGGUAUGUCUCCGUCCUCUGUCCCAGGUUAGAUUUGUCCCAGGGCCAGGCUAAACCAGACUUAACCCCGGUACAGUCAUGGUUCUGGCACCAGUGUGGCCCCAGUUAGGCCCUGUGGUCUCAGGACUGGUUGUCCCCAGUAGGGGUUGGUGGUUCGAGUGACAGUUCUUCGUCAGACAGCCCCGUUUCCACAGCGAUCACCAGGGAUGCCACAGACGCACUGCUGGUCAUGGGCUGGAACUCACCUAGAGAGAGAGAGACAGGGGGAGGAGGAGACAAAAGAAGGAUGAGAGAGACCGAGAGAGGGAGAGAGAAAGAGGGAUGAGAGAGAGAAAGAAGAGGGGGGAGGGAGAGAAAGAAAGAGGGAGAGGUGAGGAUGCAAUUCAUUAAAGCUGCCACCAGGUGGCACUAUGAGUGCUGUUUGUGUGUGUGCGUAUGUGUGCGUGUGUGUGCGUGGUGUGACUGUGGGCUGCGUGGUGUGACUGUGCGUGUCGCUAGCCUCGCCCGCCGCCCGGCGCUAGCCUCGCCCGCCGCCCGGCGCUAGCCUCGCCCGCCGCCCGGCGCUAGCCUCGCCCGCCGCUAGUCUCGCCCGCCGCUAGUCUCGCCCGCCGCCUGUCGCUAGUCUCGCCCGCCGCCUGUCGCUAGUCUCGCCCGCCGCCUGUCGCUAGUCUCGCCCGCCGCCUGUCGCUAGUCUCGCCCGCCGCCUGUCGCUAGUCUCGCCC
This is a long non-coding RNA of Oncorhynchus tshawytscha (Chinook salmon), 2713 nucleotides long. The record is from Ensembl. Lineage: Eukaryota; Metazoa; Chordata; Actinopteri; Salmoniformes; Salmonidae.